Molecule: long non-coding RNA, 1655 nt
Filed under: Manihot esculenta (cassava)
Lineage: Eukaryota; Viridiplantae; Streptophyta; Magnoliopsida; Malpighiales; Euphorbiaceae
Description: long non-coding RNA (MESC_LNC002660)
Source: RNAcentral
AGCGUCCCUUGCUCUAGCUUGUUCAAGACCGUGACGGUCCGAUGCGGCCACUGCAGUAACCUCUUGACCGGGAACAUGCGUAGCCUGCUUCUUCCUGCGGCUAACCAGCUCCACCUUGGUCAUGCUUUCUUCAAUCCGCAGAACAUCCUGGUAUUCAAGAAUUUAGGGUUUCAAACAUACUAUAACAAUGAUUGAUAUUUUAUUUGUGUGUGUGGUUUGGGUGGGUGGGUGGGUUACAAAAGGAAAGANNNNNNNNNNNNNNNNNNNNNNNNNNNNNNNNNNNNNNNNNNNNNNNAAGCUAACUAACACAAUUACGAUGGUUAGAUUGAUCUAUUAUUUUAAAAAUCCCUACUUUGGUAUCAAUGCACUUCAGAAAUUAGGGUUUACAAGCACUAAACAAAAUUAGAAGAAAAUAUAGAUAUAAUUCUAUGAAAGCCAUUCUCACAGUUACUUGGUGAUGCCAGGAGGAGAUUCGCAGCGCAGCACCACCGAAUAUGAUGAUAAAUCAGCCCAACCCAAAUGACCCACUUAUGCCAGUGAGAGGAGGCAUGGAGGAGCUCCCUAAGCCACCGGUGGUGAACAGACGUGAGAUUCUUCACUAUUUUUUUUUCUCUACUUCUCUAACAUGACAUCUGGGCUUUUAAAUUACAGAAAGUCCCUCCAUAAGUUCCACAUUUUAGGUCAAUGGACGACCUUUGUCUAGUUGAAGACGUGAAAGUUAGUUAACACCGUUGAGUGUUUGUAGGAUUCUCUAGCCGCAGCGGUCCCUUAAUCAACAGUGCCUGAGAUAUAUUGUUUUGUUUCAAGCAAGGAUCUUUCGGACACUUGUUUCAUGCCUAGCUUUCUUCUUCAUUUUAUUUCACAUUAAAAAUGAUACUACCAGAAAGCCUACUUCAGACCUCCCCAUAUAGCUCCUCAUAUCACUUUCGAGACCCCAUGUAGCUAUGACCUAUGUGCAACAAUAUUUAUUUACCACUUGCUAGUUUCUUCAUUUGUCUUUAAUUACUAAGCCCCAAUUUUGUAGCUGGAAGAGAAGCCUAAAAAGAUCCCUUUAUACUUGCGCGUCAAACGGGUUUUUGAAUUCCUGUCGUGCAUUAUCGUUAACUAUGGAAACGCAUAGUUUUUAUUCUAUUUGAUAAUUUUGUCUAGUUUUAUGUAUGUGAAAGAGAUUUUUGCCCCCGGAAAUCUAGAUAAUGGAUUGAUAGAUAGAUAGAUAGAUAGAUAGAUUGAUAGAGAUGAUGAUGAAGAAAUGAUGAAGAGAGAGAAAGAUAAUGAAAUCAGAAAUCUUUCACAGAGUCAGCGAAUUGAUUUUUUAAUGUCUCUGUCCUUUUGUUUGUCUUUGUUAUGUCUGCGUGCUCCAUCCAAGUCCAGCUCCGGAGAAGAGACAGAGAGUCCCAUCUGCCUACAACCGCUUUAUCAAGUAAGCAGUCUUUAACUUAAUUAAUAAAAAAGAUGGAAGAUCAACUAAGGCUUGAAUUAAUUAGUUUCUCCUGUGUUAAAUGAUGAACUACUGUGAGGAAUUUGUAUGUUUCUAUGAAGCAUAUGCAUGAUCUUUACACGCAUGUGUACCAACCUGCAGGGACGAGAUCCGACGCAUCAAAGCUGGAAACCCUGAUAUAAGCCACAGAGAGGCCUUUAGUGCAGCUGCAAAGAAU